Molecule: ribosomal RNA, 1089 nt
Filed under: Hypocreales sp. FY-2022b
Lineage: Eukaryota; Fungi; Ascomycota; Sordariomycetes; Hypocreales
Also listed under: 1 other name
Description: SSU rRNA
Rfam family: Eukaryotic small subunit ribosomal RNA
Source: RNAcentral
UGCAUGUCUAAGUAUAAGCAAUUAUACGGCGAAACUGCGAAUGGCUCAUUAUAUAAGUUAUCGUUUAUUUGAUAAUACUUUACUACUUGGAUAACCGUGGUAAUUCUAGAGCUAAUACAUGCUAAAAAUCCCGACUUCGGAAGGGUUGUAUUUAUUAGAUUAAAAACCAAUGCCCUCUGGGCUCUCUGGUGAAUCAUAAUAACUUGUCGAAUCGCAAGGCCUUGUGCCGGCGAUGGCUCAUUCAAAUUUCUUCCCUAUCAACUUUCGAUGUUUGGGUAUUGGCCAAACAUGGUGGCAACGGGUAACGGAGGGUUAGGGCUCGACCCCGGAGAAGGAGCCUGAGAAACGGCUACUACAUCCAAGGAAGGCAGCAGGCGCGCAAAUUACCCAAUCCCGACACGGGGAGGUAGUGACAAUAAAUACUGAUACAGGGCUCUUAUGGGUCUUGUAAUCGGAAUGAGUACAAUUUAAAUCCCUUAACGAGGAACAAUUGGAGGGCAAGUCUGGUGCCAGCAGCCGCGGUAAUUCCAGCUCCAAUAGCGUAUAUUAAAGUUGUUGUGGUUAAAAAGCUCGUAGUUGAACCUUGGGCCUGGCUGGCCGGUCCGCCUCACCGCGUGCACUGGUCCGGCCGGGCCUUUCCCUCUGUGGAACCUCAUGCCCUUCACUGGGUGUGACGGGGAAACAGGACUUUUACUUUGAAAAAAUUAGAGUGCUCCAGGCAGGCCUAUGCUCGAAUACAUUAGCAUGGAAUAAUAAAAUAGGACGUGUGGUUCUAUUUUGUUGGUUUCUAGGACCGCCGUAAUGAUUAAUAGGGACAGUCGGGGGCAUCAGUAUUCAAUUGUCAGAGGUGAAAUUCUUGGAUUUAUUGAAGACUAACUACUGCGAAAGCAUUUGCCAAGGAUGUUUUCAUUAAUCAGGAACGAAAGUUAGGGGAUCGAAGACGAUCAGAUACCGUCGUAGUCUUAACCAUAAACUAUGCCGACUAGGGAUCGGACGAUGUUAUAUUCUUGACGCGUUCGGCACCUUACGAGAAAUCAAAGUGCUUGGGCUCCAGGGGGAGUAUGGUCGCAAGGCUGAAACUUAAAGAAA